GACGAACGCUGGCGGCGUGCUUAACACAUGCAAGUCGAGCGGUAAGGCCCUUUCGGGGGUACACGAGCGGCGAACGGGUGAGUAACACGUGGGUGACCUGCCCUCAGCUCUGGGAUAAGCCCGGGAAACUGGGUCUAAUACUGGAUAUGACUCCAUGACGCAUGUUGUGGGGUGGAAAGCCUUGUGCGGCUGAGGAUGGGCCCGCGGCCUAUCAGCUUGGUUGGUGGGGGAUGGCCUACCAAGGCGACGACGGGUAGCCGGCCUGAGAGGGCGACCGGCCACACUGGGACUGAGACACGGCCCAGACUCCUACGGGAGGCAGCAGUGGGGAAUCUUGCGCAAUGGGCGAAAGCCUGACGCAGCGACGCCGCGUGAGGGAUGACGGCCUGGUGUAAC
This 396-nucleotide ribosomal RNA is filed under the name uncultured bacterium. RNAcentral's name for it is "bacterial SSU rRNA". It matches the Rfam family "Bacterial small subunit ribosomal RNA", at positions 28 to 429 of the family's 1533-position model. The record is from RNAcentral.